AAAACCCUAGGUUUCGCCCCCUAGUUUAACCUAGCUAUAAAUAUUAUUUUUACUCCUAUUUGUCAAAAUUUUCCCACUUUCUGCUUCCCCUUGUUGUCCCCUACAUUUUCCCUUACUGUUUCUCUAAUUUUUUCUUCCUUUUCUUCCUCUUUGUGUUGCCCCAUUAAUCAUCAACUUCCCUUGCCUCGUAUUUUAUUUUGCUGCUAUCUUUUUAUUGCCAUUAUCUCACCCUUGUAGCCUAUUUUCUCCUCCAUUUUUGUCGUCCCAGUAAGCCACCAUCUUUGCCACCCUUUUGAUUCUCUUCCUCUACUCUUCGUUAUUUCUUUUGUCGUCACGGUU
This 339-nucleotide long non-coding RNA is filed under the name Gossypium barbadense (sea-island cotton). Its description in RNAcentral is "long non-coding RNA (GBAR_LNC010118)". Lineage: Eukaryota; Viridiplantae; Streptophyta; Magnoliopsida; Malvales; Malvaceae. The record is from RNAcentral.